RNAcentral lists this ribosomal RNA (413 nucleotides) under uncultured bacterium. Its description in RNAcentral is "bacterial SSU rRNA". It matches the Rfam family "Bacterial small subunit ribosomal RNA", at positions 228 to 633 of the family's 1533-position model. The record is from RNAcentral.
CGGCGAUGUCUGAUUAGCUAGUUGGUGGGGUAAAGGCCUACCAAGGCGACGAUCAGUAGUUGGUCUGAGAGGACGACCAGCCACACUGGGACUGAGACACGGCCCAGACUCCUACGGGAGGCAGCAGUGGGGAAUUUUGGACAAUGGGCGCAAGCCUGAUCCAGCAAUGCCGCGUGAGUGAAGAAGGCCUUCGGGUUGUAAAGCUCUUUCAGUCGAGAAGAAAAAGCUGUGGUGAAUAACUGCGGUUUAUGACGGUAUCGACAGAAGAAGCACCGGCUAACUACGUGCCAGCAGCCGCGGUAAUACGUAGGGUGCGAGCGUUAAUCGGAAUUACUGGGCGUAAAGGGUGCGCAGGCGGUUUUGUAAGUCAGAUGUGAAAUCCCCGGGCUUAACCUGGGAAUUGCGUUUGAAAC